AUUGAACGCUGGCGGCAGGCUUAACACAUGCAAGUCGAGCGGAGAUGAGGUGCUUGCACCUUAUCUUAGCGGCGGACGGGUGAGUAAUGCUUAGGAAUCUGCCUAUUAGGGGGGGACAACAUUCCGAAAGGAAUGCUAAUACCGCAUACGUCCUACGGGAGAAAGCAGGGGAUCUUCGGACCUUGCGCUAAUAGAUGAGCCUAAGUCGGAUUAGCUAGUUGGUGGGGUAAAGGCCUACCAAGGCGACGAUCUGUAGCGGGUCUGAGAGGAUGAUCCGCCACACUGGGACUGAGACGCGGCCCAGACUCCUACGGGAGGCAGCAGUGGGGAAUAUUGGACAAUGGGGGGAACCCUGAUCCAGCCAUGCCGCGUGUGUGAAGAAGGCCUUAUGGUUGUAAAGCACUUUAAGCGAGGAGGAGGCUACUGAGACUAAUACUCUUGGAUAGAGGACGUUACUCGCAGAAUAAGCACCGGCUAACUCUGUGCCAGCCGCCGCCGUAA
This 501-nucleotide ribosomal RNA is filed under the name uncultured bacterium. RNAcentral describes it as "partial 16S ribosomal RNA". It matches the Rfam family "Bacterial small subunit ribosomal RNA", at positions 30 to 523 of the family's 1533-position model. The record is from RNAcentral.